RNAcentral lists this long non-coding RNA (1291 nucleotides) under Heterocephalus glaber (naked mole-rat). RNAcentral's name for it is "lncRNA (ENSHGLG00100045840.1)". The record is from RNAcentral. Lineage: Eukaryota; Metazoa; Chordata; Mammalia; Rodentia; Bathyergidae.
GGAAGCGGAGAGAACGACCGCCGCCUCAGCGCCUCGGCCCCGGACGCCCCCAGCGGCCGCACCCUGCAGCGCACCCGCGGGGCGGAAGCAGGAGCAGCGGGAGGGCGGGGAAAUUCGGGGCGGGAGGGUGCCUCCGCGGGGAAUCUAACCCACUACGGCAGUUAGCCGCGCGCCACGCUUCUCGGGUUAAAAAAAGACAAACCCGGCCAAAAAAGCUUACUUUUGCAGCUUCCUCUGCGCCUUUCCUUUCAGUUUCCUUGCACCCCCUCUUUUCUUCCCUUUCCUGUGAUUUCUUUCCCUGGGGUUUAAGAAUCAUGGGUUAAAAAGGGCAAACAAUCUACUACGUUGUUUGGGUCAAACGGAGAUCCAAGAACUAAAAUUUCCUUUCGAGUCUCUAAAUUCACGAGACUUCAAAUGUAAAACGAAGACAAGAUAGGAAAAAGGAAAGGGAUUAAGGUGAUGAAGGCCUUCGAAGUGCCCAUGCAAGGCACUGCUCAGCCAUUUUCUCGUGUUGAUGCCCUGUCUAAUCUUUGUCACCCAGGAUAAAAGAUAAUAAUCUGUCUAUAUAAAGAAGAGAAAUACUUAAAAUCAAAUUCUCCAAGGCAGGCUUUAAAAAUCUCCCUAGAUGAAUAGCAAUCAUUUGCCUUCUGUAGGCAUAUGCAGUGUCUACUGUUAAAUGUGUAUGACUUAGUUACAUAAUGUUCCUGUUUUGUUUGUUUGCUUUGCAGUCCUGGGGAUUGAACCUAGGGGUCCUGGAUGUACAUGCCAGCUAAGCUACACCCCCCCGCCCCUUUGUUUUGAGACAGUCUUAUCAAAUUGUCCAGGCUGGCCUCAAACUUGUGAGUCUCCUGCCUCGGCCUCCCAACUAGCAGGAACUACAGAUGAAAGAACUGAGGCAUGGGGAAAUUAAGCAACUCUUACAAGAUUACCCAAUCGUUUUCUUUCUUGAUAACACUCCACGAAGAGCAAGGAGCGGCUGGGUCCUCCAAGGCUCCAUGAGACCUUGAUACUAUAUCUGGCUACAGAGUCCACCAGGACUAGGGCUUCAACUUGGCUUAAGAACUACAAUUUCCUGCUCUAGCAACACAAUUAGCACCUUUCACAGUAGCACAGAUGUGGAAUCAACCUACAUGUCCAUGAAAGGAUGAAUGCAUGCGGAAAAUGUGACAGCUAUGGACUGAAACUUCUACAAACUGCGAAUCAAAAUAAAUCUUUCCUCCUUUAACUUGUGGGUAUCAAGUGUUUUGUCCCAGCAAUAAGAAAGUAAUUAAGACAACUACUUUGGCUGAGC